This 120-nucleotide ribosomal RNA is filed under the name Carlito syrichta (Philippine tarsier). The record is from RNAcentral. Lineage: Eukaryota; Metazoa; Chordata; Mammalia; Primates; Tarsiidae.
GUCUAUGGCCGUACCACCCUGAACAUGCCUGAUCUCAUCUCAUUUUGGAAACUAAGUAGGGUUGGACCUGGUUAGUGCUUGGAUGGGAGACAUCACUGAUUCCAUGACGUGCUUUCUAUC